Molecule: ribosomal RNA, 375 nt
Filed under: Allobosea sp.
Lineage: Bacteria; Pseudomonadati; Pseudomonadota; Alphaproteobacteria; Hyphomicrobiales; Alloboseaceae
Description: bacterial SSU rRNA
Rfam family: Bacterial small subunit ribosomal RNA
Source: RNAcentral
CAUGCAAGUCGAACGGGCACUUCGGUGCUAGUGGCAGACGGGUGAGUAACACGUGGGAACGUACCUUUCGGUUCGGAAUAAUUCAGGGAAACUUGGACUAAUACCGGAUACGCCCUUCGGGGGAAAGAUUUAUCGCCGAUAGAUCGGCCCGCGUCUGAUUAGCUAGUUGGUGAGGUAAUGGCUCACCAAGGCGACGAUCAGUAGCUGGUCUGAGAGGAUGAUCAGCCACAUUGGGACUGAGACACGGCCCAAACUCCUACGGGAGGCAGCAGUGGGGAAUAUUGGACAAUGGGCGCAAGCCUGAUCCAGCCAUGCCGCGUGUAGUGAUGAAGGCCUUAGGGUUGUAAAGCUCUUUUGUCCGGGAAGAUAAUGACU